CUGACAGCCCAGAGACUGGAGCCUGCUUUGAAUCCUGUGUCUCCCUCUCUCUCUGCCCCUCCCCUGCUCGUGCUCUGCGUUUCUCUGUCUCUCAAAAAUAAACAAACAUUGAAAAAAAAAUUUUUUUUAAAGGAUUUCCAAAAGAGAUGUGACAUUCUGCACCUGAAACUGCCAUAGCCACCUUGGGGCCAUGAGAGACCAAGCCUGCAGGACGAAGCCAACAAGCCGGGAUAACAGAUGCCAAGGACCACGCUGAGCCAUGAGUCCCCGCAAGAGCCCUUGCUAAGUGGGCUCGUGGGUUUUCCUUACUGUGAGAGCAGGCUGAGGUCCUCAGAAACUUAGCUUCAGAAAACUGACUUAGAAGGACAAAGGCAUGGAUGCAGGAAGCCGAUUCAGGAAAGACAGCCAUUGGCAAACACGAAUGCUCUGGAGACGAACCAUUUCUGCAAAUGAGGCACAGAGCCCACCAGACUCUUACCCCUGAUGUCAUCUAGCCUCUCCUGUGUGAGUCAAAGACACUGCCUGAGGGACAUCAUCUCUCUCUCCCUUUCUAGACCACAGAACAGAAUCGCCUAGCAACUGUUUCCAGCCAGUACAUUCUAUUCAUUCCAUCGCCCAAAGACAACAUUAAGUCACACGCCCUCUGGAAAACCGAGGCCAGGAAUGGUGUGGCACCACACUGAGGUGUCUCUGGAUAAACAGCAAACCUCCCUAAGUGAGUCAAGUGCUCCAUAAAUCUCAGCAUCAUGACAUCCCGCUGGGGCCCCUGUGGGUCUGCCGCCACCGCCACCGUCAUCAACGACGAUGUGUCAGCUAAUCGUGUUAUCAUCUAAGUGAAAAUGCAAAAUUUUUAAGUGUUUGUAGAACUGGCAGAUUCCUGAGACUAUCUCUCAGCACUCAGUUUGAGAAGCAGGUCUGGACAUCCAUAAACCAACUGUUCUGUUUCUCAUGGAAGAAAAGCCUGAAGUACAGCCAGUGGGACCGAGAGGCGCAAGUGAGGAACUCCAUGAGGAAUGCCAAUAAUUCUGAUGCCACAGCACCACCCCAGGAGUGCAUGAAGAAACAGCACAACGACGAGAGGUGGUUUCCCGAGCUGGGUCAGACCGUGGGCCUGGCCCAGACAUCACAAACCUCCAGGCCGCUGGGCUCCGUGCUGCUCCUGGCUGGCCCCCAGCUCCAGCCUCCACAGCCUGGGAGAUAAGAGGAUAAUGGUGGCAGGAACAGAGUAAAAGAGCUCCUGUUCCCAACUCAGGGUUUAAAAAAAGUUCAUCAUAAUGGUCAGAGCUCUGAAGGCUCACUCUGUGUGACCGAUCGUGACAACCCCUCCCAUACCCCAUAAGCGCUGCCUCCGGGACGGGCAUGGAAGCAGAACGCACAAGCAGAUGUCUCCAGCCCACAGGUGGAAGGAUUAAGGGUUGAAAAGAAAAAGAUCCUGGACUACUGGAUCAAAGAUGAGUAGUUGUUAAAAUCUUGAAGCCUCCUCUCUGUGGGAAACCUCUUCAGUCAGCCCCACUAGAGUCGAACACAGAUCAACUGCUACUCCUCCAGAGGCAGGUGACUGGGCAAGCGGCCUGGAGCCACCCUCCUUUAGACCCACAACCUGCAUGUAGCUGCUGGACCAUUUUAUCCAAAGGCACCAUGGGCAGUGUGCACAGUCUACGAGCUUUUCCAGGUUAUAAAAACAGU
Acinonyx jubatus (cheetah) is the source of this 1686-nucleotide long non-coding RNA. RefSeq lists it as uncharacterized. The transcript has 3 exons. The record is from RefSeq and is a predicted model, not a curated record. NCBI's taxonomy places the organism in Eukaryota, Metazoa, Chordata, Mammalia, Carnivora, Felidae.